GAUUGAAGGGAGGGUCGCCGGCUCGCGGCGAGGAAGCCCUAAAGUCAUCUAUGUGUGGGAGCUCAUGGAAGGCCUCGACGCCGGCGAACCAAAAUGGGAAGACUUCGAGCCCGAGGCCGCGGGGACUGCUCCGAGGUCUCGCGAGCAUCGACGCGAAGACUCCACUAAAGUUCAUGAACCAGAUUGGUUCUCCGAGGAAGGCAAACACUUAACGGAGGCAAGGAAAACAAGGGGAACGCAGAAAAUGGGUCGAAUCAGAUUCAGAUCUAGAACUUGAAGUUCUGACGGCGUCGAGCUCGAUAGCGAGGAGGUAGUUGAAGAACUGACGUUGCUGGCGUUGAGGAGGCCCAGAUAUUGGUUGGGCAGGGCUCAGAGGUCCAUGGUAGCAAAGACGGCGAAGGUGAGGCCAUGGCCGUUGAGAUUCGAGUGCUCGGUGACUGCAAUGAAGACGAAGGAGGAGACGUCGCCACCCUUUGAGUUUUUGAACUGGAACGGGAGUAGUAGAAAGCGUGGCCCAUCAGGCGACUCGCCUCGUUGGUGAGCUUGAGGACGCCAUUGUUGUUGAAGAAGAAGAUGGAGGUGAACUCAAGAGCUGCAACUUUCCUCCAAGCGCAAGCAUGAAGAAGAUGAACAGUGAACAGAUAAAAAAAGAAAUAUCUUUGGACGAUUAUGCCCCUAGUUGUGUCGCCGGAAGAUUUGAGGUCCUUAUUUGAGACUAAAUGAUCACCUCGGACCCUUAUUUGAGACAACGUUAACUUCAGGUCCUCUUUUGAGAAAACUCAUCCACUUUGGGGCCUUAUUUGAAAUUUUCCC
Syzygium oleosum is the source of this 813-nucleotide long non-coding RNA. RefSeq lists it as uncharacterized. Lineage: Eukaryota; Viridiplantae; Streptophyta; Magnoliopsida; Myrtales; Myrtaceae. The transcript is spliced from 2 exons. The record is from RefSeq and is a predicted model, not a curated record.